RNAcentral lists this long non-coding RNA (5287 nucleotides) under Lynx pardinus (Iberian lynx). Lineage: Eukaryota; Metazoa; Chordata; Mammalia; Carnivora; Felidae. The record is from RNAcentral.
CGUGCCGGAGAAAUGGCUCGAGAACAGGCACCACAGCAGGAUCAUGGUGUCUAACAUCUGCUACCUCCUCCUCACUGCCUGGUAAAAGCAAUGCCCCCAAACGCCCUCAGUCAGCUGCUUUCCCAUUUCUCACAGUGGCUAUUACAAACAUUUACUGUGCCAUAAUCUCCCCGCAUGAUGAUGACCAUGACUCCUAUGUGGCGGUGAAAUAAAGGCAAGAACCCCCUCAGCUUUUCCCUCUCCACCCUCUGCAAAUCAGCGGGCCCGAACACCAGCUCUGCUCACUGCCUCCUCUCCAGUCGCAGUAUAAGAAGUACUGGCUGAAGGUUACCCUCUCUUUCCUUCCCACUUCCUCUGUGCCCUUGCCCUUGCUUUAUCUUUAACUUCCUUAGUCUACGGGCUCUUGUCCCCCAACACCUGACAGGAAUUGUGCUCAUGUCUUUGUCAUCUGAAAACCAAACAAACAGGAAAAAAAUAAGACAAAAACUCACAACCUACUCCAAUUAUCACCGUAUUUCUCAUUUCUCUUUAUACCUAAGUAUCUAGAAAAAAAAAAAAAAAUCAACGUGUGCUCACUGGUCUUCAUUACUUCACAUUAAUUUCAACCCACUUAAAUCUUACUUCCACAUCACCUGCUCCACUGAAACUCCUCUCGAAAUUCUGUCCGUUGGGGUGGCAGAGACUUCUGGUUGUCCAUUCCAUAUUUAUUCUCCCCUAUUUCCUUAUCCCAAUGUUGUCAGAAGUAUCGAUGUACCAGGCGAAAGCCCACAGUCACCUGAACCCAUUUCAGCUAGAGAUGAUUAAUUAGUGAAAGCCAAAGUCACUAGAUGGGGCUUUCAGGAAAGUUCUUGAAAGGGAGCUGACCCAGCUAGGAGGGGCCCACCACUUUCCCCCACCUUCCCUCCCCCUACCUAGAAGGUGGAUGUGACAGUUCAAGCUUCAUCAGUUGUCUUUUAACCAUGAGCAACCCUGAGGAUGGGAACUAAGUGCCAAGAAUGGAGAGCAGAGACAGAAACCCGGGACACCGAGGGCACUGUACAAUGACCAGACCUGCUUGGGACUGCCUGCCUCUAGGUUUCUUCUGUUUACAAAAAAUAAACCACUCUCUGUUUGAGUCACAGUUACUUUGAGUCUCUGGGACAAGCAGUCAAAUGCAACUUCCAGGUCAUGCACUUGGUUCUUAUGGUCCUCUACCUUGAUUCUCCUACUACCGCGUGGGCAACUCUUCCCCCAUCCACCCUUAGAUGGUGGAGUUUCUAGUCUCCAGCCCCAUCUCUCUUCAUGCCCGGCCUCCACACUCUAUGUGCUAAAUCUCCUGAGCAAACUGCAGUUCUCUAAAUGGGCCAUGUCCUCUCAUUCUCUUUAUUUCAUUUUAUUUAACUCCAAUUCCUCCUUCAGGAUGGAGUUUAACUGUCACCUCCUCCUGGAAGUCUUCCAUGAUCCCUCAAACCCAAGUCAGACUGUGUCACAAACAUUUAUCACUCAGUAAUAGUGGAUUGUCUCUCCAGAGGAAGGUGAAUUUCUUGGGGUUUCCAUUUCAGUAUUUUUCACUGGGUAUAACUAUGUGCUAGGGAUAUAAAGAUGAAGUAAAACAUGGCCCUGUAUUAAAAAGGUACCCAGCUACAUGAAUUUUCUGAGCGAAUAUUGAAGACAUGUGAAAUGUGCUUUAAACAAAAUAGGUGUUAUGUUAAAAUAUCGUUUCCAAUGCUUACAGUUCUCGUCUGGUACUUACUACACACCACCCCUGUGUAACAGUUCUCCAGACACAUGGCUUUUCUUUAAGGUAAGGAUGAUAGCUCACAUUCUCAUAUCUCCUAUAGAAUCCAAGAUACAGUACCUCGUAUUUAAUGACACCGUUAGUAAAUAUAUGCUCAAUGAACAAAAUGGUAUUAGCUGUCACUCAUCUUUAUAUAGCAUUUGUUAUAGUACUUCAUUGUUAUGAAACAGAAAAUCAUACUCACCUACGGUUUCAAUAAGAAUGAUGUCAUAUCCCCCUCCUUCGCACAACAGAAUGGCUUCAUUUGUGGUCCUUGUCACACCUCCUAAAGUCCCUCUAGUAGGAGAUGGCCUGAUGUAUGCAUUCAUAUCUCUUGAUAACUCAGUCAUUCGGGUUUUAUCACCUAAGAGUGAUCCUAAAACACACAUUUACAUUUUAUAAUCAUGGAACACCUAUAGGGGCCAAUUAUCAAUCAGCCAAUUCCCAGGGGAAGUGCCUUAUGACAUUUCUCCCAAGAUCUCAAAAUCAUUUAUAUAAUUGAGCUUUAGCGCCACACAGCGUAUAUGAUGUCAAAUUAACACCUCAAGCCCCUCAAAAUUUAUAACGGCUUUCCAUUGGCUAGAGGUUCAAAUCUAGAUUCUUCAGUCUAACACUAAAGGCCCUCACAAUGCAGCCCUACCUUACCUGUCCAAUUUCAGCUUCCACUGCCCCCAAAUCAAUCUUCCAAUUCCAGCCAAGACAGCUUCUUUACUGUCCUUUUAACAUUGUUGUCUUUAUGGUUUGCAACUGAAGAUGAUUAUGACCCCAGAGGAAAUCUGGCAAUGUCUGACGAUAUUUUUACUUGUCACAACGGGGGGCAGGAUGCUACCGGCAUCUGGUGCGUAGAGGCCAAGGAUACUGCUAAGCGUCGUUCAGUGUCCCACACCAAGACUGUCAUUAGUGCCAGUGCUUUAAUAUAAGUUCCUUGCCCAUGGAACCACGUCUUACAUUUUCUGUAAUGACUGCCGGUUCCCAGUAGGCAAUUAAUUUAAUACCUAUGGUACAGAAUGAAUGAUGUUCCAAGGUUUACGACAGUAUUUUGGUAAACGUCACUACUUGCAAAUUCUAAAAGACUAAAAUAAAAGCCUUGGAACUGUUGAAAUUCCCUUUAACUUUUACUUUCCUCUAGCCAUAUAACAACAUUGGAGGUGUAGUGCUGUUCUAACCCGAAUUUCAAUUUUCACUCUGCCCAAGAGCUAACUUUUCCACAUAAAGUUGAUGCUAAACAUUGAGAAGUUCCUUAAAGAUAUCAUCUCUCCACUCAUGACUCCAGUUUAGAGUUCCCAUAGGUUCUAAUUCUCGAGCACACGCCUACCAUGCAUCUCAACUACCUUAUUUACUUUUUUCUAAAAAUAUUUAGAUGUUUUUCUAAAACUUUUUCCUAAAAUAAUUUUCUACAUGAAAUCAUCUCUGGAUAAGUCAACAAUCUGCCAAAGCUAUACUUUAAAUUAUUAUCCUAUAGAUCUUAACACACUGAACUAAACAUUAUGAAAUUACUCUCCCAUAUAAUUGUCUUAGCCAGUGAGUCCAAAACUGUCACUUGCAGACCCUAAGGGAAGUCUCAAAGCUACUGCUGGAAUCUGUGAAUCCAAAACACAACAAGGGUUGACUACAGGCCAAAAAAGGAAUGCUUCUCAACCUUAGCAUCAUGCUACUUUCAAAUGCACAGUCCUAUAGCAAUAUUAAAGUAGAAAUGUAAACUUAUAGUGUCUUGUUUAUCCCCAUGUAUUUUUUCUUUCAAAGUCUAUAUAUAUUUUUUUCUUACCUGAGAAAGGGGCGUUCAUUUUUAGUUUAAGAAUUAAGAACCACAUAGCUAUGCAACUUUAAUCAGACUAUCUUGUCACCAUACCUGCUAUCACUAUCUCAAGCUAUGGUUUUCUUUUGCUACUGCAAGUAUUCUAGAAUACUACAAAGGAAAAGAGAAAAAAGGAUCUCUCACCUAUAUGAAAAUGAGAGCCACCAUAAAAAGAAUUAUUUGUUCUGGGGCACUUGGGUGACUCAGUCGGUUAAGUGCUGACUUUGGCUCAGGUUCUGAUCUCGCAGUUCUUGAAUUCAAGCCCCACAUCAGGCUCACUGCUGUCAGCACAGAGCCUGCUUUGGAUCCUCUGUCCCCCCUCUCUGCCCCUGCGCUGCUUGAGCUCCCGCUCUCAACAAUAAACAAACACUAAAGAAAAAAAAUUCUUUGUUCAAAUACUUACCUUUACCAAAGUUCUUAGACUGAAAAUAAGAUAAUAUACUGAUAUGGAUUUAAUCUUGAACGUUGUAAAUACAAUUUUAUUUUAUGGUUAACAUUUUUAUUUUAGUGAAUCAAAAACCGUGCAUACUCUCAGCUAAAGUUCUCAAUGGGUGGUGACAGCCACCUUUCUACUGACCUAAAGCCCCUAAAAUAUAAUGAUAUCAUCUCUAUUUUUAGCGUUAAACCCACUGUAUGCAAACCAAACAUUUCCACAAAGUGCCCUGUAUUCCCUCCCCCCGCCACAACACACAUUACAUUGUAAUGGCCUGUGUGUACAUGUCUGUUUCCCUCGUUAGAUACAGAGCUCCGUAGGCCAGGGGACUGUGUCUCAUUCGCCAUUACACAACAUGGUACCUUCCUUGUACAAUGCCUGGCCUAUAGCAGACAUUCAAACACCUGUGAAAUGAAUAACUGCAAUGUGAGAAGCCUAGAUCAUAAAGAGGGAUAAGGGAAGAAAAACCUUCCUAUUUAUAUGGCAUGCUUUAUGUUUUCCUUAAAUGAUCCUUUGGGGAAACUAAGUUUAUUCAUCGUAUCUCUGAUGAGCUGUGAGUAAACUCGGAUGACUGUGUGACCCUGAAUCAGUAAUUGCUGAGCACUGUACGUGACAUACCAUGCUAAGUGCUGUAGGGACAACAGCGGUAUAUUACAUGGACCCCCUAAGAGCUUUCUGUUGAACCGAACAUGUAAUAUUAACGGGUGACAAAUUGUAAAGAGCAAUAAGAUUUUCUUUUAAGCUUAAGAGAUGUUACAACAAUAUAAGAAAAAAGGCAAUGAACAGACGGACCCAUUUUCUGAACUGCAUAGGGGCUGAUGCUGCCAGGAGGAAACAACAGGAGGGAAGUGGGGGCCUGGCCUCAGGUGUGAUAGAGGGCUCAAAUUUGCUUUUGAUGAUCUUCAACUUCUGGCACCUGUUUUCCUAGUUCUCUAAGUAGCCAGGCUACUCCUGGACUACCCACUAGCCAAGGAGCCUAAUACCCCAAACUACCUCCCUCAAUCUCCACCUUGCCCCUAGGACUCCCUUCUUUCAGUGAGACCAAACUCCGCUAGAGGUUAGAAGUCACCUGACUGUGCAAAUUCCCACUAAAUUAUAACAGAGAGCCCCACGAGCCCCUGCUUUGCAGUUUAAAAAGAAUCAGCAAUACUCACCACCACUGGUACAAGAAGAAGGGUCCACAGCUAGCACGGAUAAUUUGUGCCCUCUCUCAGUAAGCAUUUUUCCAAAAUAUUCUAUGAAGGUUGAUUUUCCAGCACCAGGGGGCCCAGACAAUCCUACAGUAGAGAGGAUCCUUCUAAUU